CACAUUUUUAUACGCUUCCUUUGUAUAAUCGCGAUAAUAUGGAUCGCAAGUUUCUACCUAACAACCGUAAAUUGUUAGACUAUAAGGGAAAGCGGUACGUAU
This 102-nucleotide non-coding RNA is filed under the name Bacillus sp. (in: firmicutes). RNAcentral describes it as "Bacillus sp. Guanine sequence". It matches the Rfam family "Purine riboswitch aptamer". Rfam says of the family: Riboswitches are metabolite binding domains within certain messenger RNAs that serve as precision sensors for their corresponding targets. Allosteric rearrangement of mRNA structure is mediated by ligand binding, and this results in modulation of gene expression. RNAcentral also lists the same sequence under 1 other name. The record is from RNAcentral. Lineage: Bacteria; Bacillati; Bacillota; Bacilli; Caryophanales; Bacillaceae.